GGGGAUGGCUCAGUGGUAGAGCACUGGCUUAGCAUGCAAAAAGCCCUGGGUUCAGUUCCCAGCAUCACUU
Molecule: transfer RNA, 70 nt
Filed under: Fukomys damarensis (Damara mole-rat)
Lineage: Eukaryota; Metazoa; Chordata; Mammalia; Rodentia; Bathyergidae
Rfam family: tRNA
About the family: Transfer RNA (tRNA) molecules are approximately 80 nucleotides in length. Their secondary structure includes four short double-helical elements and three loops (D, anti-codon, and T loops).
Source: Rfam by way of RNAcentral